Long non-coding RNA from Coregonus clupeaformis (lake whitefish), 458 nucleotides. RefSeq lists it as uncharacterized. Lineage: Eukaryota; Metazoa; Chordata; Actinopteri; Salmoniformes; Salmonidae. The transcript has 5 exons. The record is from RefSeq and is a predicted model, not a curated record.
CCAUGGUAACUUGGAAGCGAAAAGAGUUGACGGCUGAUAGAUAUCCCACCAAGAGAAGAUGGUGAGCAGUUUUCAAACAAAUGCCACCCAAGGAUGCAAAGUCUGCCCAAAAGAAAGGAGGCAAGCUCAGUAAGGCUGGAAAAGAGCAACUUCAGAAAGAGGAGGAUGAGAGAAGACAAAAGGAAGAGGAGGCUUGACUCCUGGCUGAGAAAGAGGAGCAGGGGAGGCUGGAGAGAGAGAGGAAGGAGCAGGAGGAGCAUCAGAGACUGGAGCUAAAGGACAAAGAUCGCAGAGAGGACAAGCUGAACGAACUGCGUCAUCUACUGGAAGAGAAACAGACUGCAGUCACCAAGUGGGAGACUGAGUCCAGAGAAAAAGCCAAGGUGUGUGAUUGUUCUAAAGCUCUGGCCUGCAUAAUGAUGUAGUAAACAACAUCGCUCUGCGUGGGAACUUUUGGU